AAAGAGAUGGGAAAAUAUUUGAAUACACAGAAGAGCUAACAAACCUAUGACUCCAUUGAAGAGCAAAAGAGAGAAACACGUGAAUAUUCAGAGGGUAAAGGAGAAAUUUCCCUUUUUCCCUACAAAUUUGGUGCCAUGGCUCAGAUACAUCAAAGCCACUGUGCUCUUCUGGAAGCUACAGUCAACGGAACUCAUAGCUGGACAACCCAAAGCCAGCACAAGCUACUGGGGGCACACAGGUUGAAGGAUCUUCAGGUGAAGAUGGACAAUUGAUGAUUGGGAACCCCUAGAAAUAUGUCCAGACAGAAAUGCAGGAUUAUUUUCUGGGUAGCAAAUCUUUUCUUUCUUUCUGCUGUUUUAAGGUGUGAUCUGGAUCUAAU
This 380-nucleotide long non-coding RNA is filed under the name Ictidomys tridecemlineatus (thirteen-lined ground squirrel). Its description in RNAcentral is "lncRNA (ENSSTOG00000030832.1)". The record is from RNAcentral. Lineage: Eukaryota; Metazoa; Chordata; Mammalia; Rodentia; Sciuridae.